CUGGCAGUUUCCACCCAGCUAUGUGCAGACAUUUAACCUAAUGAACAGAAAUUGCUCCAUUGGGACUACUCCUCUAUUCGAAAUUGUUUGAAGGCAGCAGCAAGAUGAAAGAAACUUUUAUUCAUUUUGCAAAAUAAAAGAACAAAGAUCUCUUCUGCACCAUUAAUUUUUUUCACUCCAUAAAUGUUGAAUUGUCCCAUCACCUUGCUGGUAGGAGACCUUCUACUAUCAUCAUACCUGCAUCAUUGGCUGAGACUUGUCUGAAAUGCCUUCACUGUUUCUGCAGAGGAAACCUGGAAGAAGGAGAUACAGAUCUUAGCUCUUUUACCUUCUGCUUCAGUUUGUGCCUGACCAUCUGUGAGUAAGGUACUCACGGGUCUCCAUGCUUAAUUAACCCUUUCACCCUUCUUCUGUGUCUUUCCAUUAGCUCCAUCUUUGCUAUGUUGCAAUGAAAGGUACCUCUCUGGGGCAUGGAAAGAUAAAUAUCUGAAUAUCUGCCUAUCAAUGCUCAAACCACCAAAGUCAUUCUAGGCUUGAGCAUUUUUCCAGUUUAUGCAUAACAUUAGGGAAUGGUCUUCAUUUUAAGACAAAGCUGGCAAAGGAAGGGCAUGAUCUCAAGAGCUUUUUAAAUACCACUGUUGACUGAAAGCUAUUAGGUCAUGCUACUGAGUGGCUACCACCACCAUUAACAAGAAAUGGAG
RNAcentral lists this long non-coding RNA (701 nucleotides) under Struthio camelus australis. Its description in RNAcentral is "lncRNA (ENSSCUG00000005378.1)". Lineage: Eukaryota; Metazoa; Chordata; Aves; Struthioniformes; Struthionidae. The record is from RNAcentral.